UUUUAAUGAAACUGUUCUGUAGUCAUUAAGCAUUGAAAAGAGGCUGAAUUCAGGAUCUCUCGGGCCAUAGUGCUAUAUAUAGUGCUAUAGAAUCAAGAUAGUAUUACAGAUUUCAUCAGUAUCAUUCUGCAGUGAAUUGGCAAGAACUUUCCUGGUAGAGAGUCUUGUAGGGUUUGGGGUUCUUACUGAACCUGUUUUUAGAAAUGGUCAAGCAUGUUAUCUUUUCCUCUGCAAAGAUCUUGCUGGACUGGUGUUGGGCUCAGUGAAAGACACUUGCUUUUGAGGAACCUAAAGCUGGGAGUCCAGGGCAGUCAGAACCUCAGUGGCUUUGUUUGAAAGACCACUGCUGCUGCUGCUGCUGCUAAGUCUCUUCAGUCGUGUCUGACUCUGUGCGACCCCAUAGACGGCCUCCUACCAGGCUCCUCUGUCCCUGGGAUUCUCCAGGCAAGAACACUGGAGUGGGGCUUAUUUUUCUAAAGUAGUCUUGAAACUGGCUCUCUUUGGUCUGGCCUCUUGUGUUCCCUCAUCCAAUAUCAUUUGACUAUUUCAAUGCACUAAUAGGUGGCAAAGAGAUCCCAAGCUGAUCGAUGUUUUUUUUUUUUUUUAAUGAUUUUAGGCUUUACUGCCAGGAUCAUCCCAAUUUACACCAUUGCCAUGAAGUGCUUGUUUGUCUGUGGUGAUGUGUGCACUAAAUAAUGCAGGGAAAUCUGGCAGGUGGUAGGUAGAGAGAGGCACUGGCUACCUUUCCUGUUGGCUCUUUGUUCAUGCUGUUGACUUUCAGGUAGACUGUCAUCUUCACCCUUCUUCUCUCACCUAAGCAUGUGAAAAGGAAGUUGAGACUUCUGAUCUGCCUGUUAUCCUGUAUCCAUGGUGGUUACAAGCACUUACCUUAGAGCCAGACUGCCUGAGUUCCUACCCCAACUCCACUGCUGCUGUGUGACACAGGGACUGCGCCUGCUCACCUUUGAAAUAGCUGAGAGUGGCCCUGAUGUUGGCUUCCGGCAAGAGGCAUGGACCUCCUUCCCUCUGAGGUCUGGCCACCUCCAGUAGACCUGUCUCCCCAUUUGCUUCUAACUAGGAUGUUGCAGUUAAUGCUGGUGUGAAAAUGAUUAGCCUGAGAAAGCCCAGCAGGAUCAUCUCUACAAGGAGGUAUCAUUGUUCCUGUUUUACAAAUGAGAAACUACGUACAGACAUUUGUCCACAUUCACUCGGCUAGUUGACAGGGUUUGGAACUCCGAUCUGUACGGCCCCCAAGCUAUGCUGCAAGUGCCGCACACAGGUCUCACCCCUGCCCCGUGGAGUUGGCCAUACUGCAGCAAUAAAGACCGUGGAGCUGACAGCUCUGCAGCUGCUUCAGAGAGAGAUGUAGAGAUUUAUGCACAAAGAUGUGUGCCUAAGAUAUGUUAUAGCAAAAGGCCAAAUAUUCUUGUAAAAGUGGCAGAGAUGACUGAAGAGCUUUAUUAAGCAUGUAUUAAGUAUGUGCAGUGGAGCAUUACCAUCUGCUAAAUCUGGGUGGUUUUAUUGACCUCUCUAUUUUGCUGUAUGUUUGAAAUAUUUCAUUAUUAAUCAUUCUUAGGCAAAAGGAAAUGGAAGAAAGCAGAUAAGUUCUGCAUUGUGAGUUGUUCAGGUAGUUUUUGCAUAAACUGGAGGGUGAUAAUUGCUGAUAUGACCUCAAAAGAGAUAAGGGAGCGAAAGGAAGGUUUGCUAAUUAGCUACUAAGAAGAGAGAAAUGUGAGAAAUAAUUAAAUCACCUGGUUCGGUGUGCUCCUCUAACGCAUCCUCCCUGACUGUCUCUUCCAACUUAAUGACUCAGAGCAAUCAGCCAACGAUACACUCCGGGAGAAGAGAGAUCUUGUUAAACUUUGAGUUUGAUGCCAGUGAUGCAUGCAUUGUUUUCACAAAUUAUAUUAGUGCUCAUGCACUGGAAUUGCUGUACUUUAGACACUCAAAAUUAUGGACCAACUAUCUCUAGUGGUUGCCUGGUUUUGGAGUGAACCUCAAAGGCGAGCCUUGGCUAGGAAAGAUUUUUCCAUAUUCCAGCAGCUUUUGUUCAAAGCAUAUUUUGUUUAUACUUCCUUCCAAGUUCAAUGUGACACGGAUGGUUGUGCUUUGAUUUUUUUUUUCUUUUUUGGGGUUCAUGGAAAUCAUAACUGAAGUUUAAUUUUUUAAUCUUGCCCUUCAGAGCAGCUGACACAUCUCAGCCAAUGUUUGUUGUAUGUGCAAAAUAUACGGAAGGGAGGAGUCAAUUAAAGCCAAAAGGAGUAACAGAAAGGAAAUACUUGAGAACAGAAACCAAUAAAAUAGUAGGGAAAAUGAAUAAAAUAAAUUGGUUUUUUAAAAGAUUAAUAACAUUUUUAAUCCCCUAGCAAAAUUUAUCAAGGGAAAAAACCCCACACAAAUUACCAAUGUUAGGGACAAUAUUAUAUAUACACACACACACACACACAUAAGGAAGGAGUAGCUAUUUCAAUGGCUAUAGGACAUUAAUGUGGAUGUCUUGUUAGAGCCGUUGAUUUGAUUUUAAGAAAGCUCAUCAUUGUCGUUUAUUCUUUAAGUUGUGUCCGACUCUUGUAACCCCAUGGACCGUGGCCUGCUAGGCUCCUCUGUCCAUGGGAUUCUCCAGGCAAGAAUACUGGAACGGUUACCAUUUCCUUCUCCAUUUAAGAAAGCUACUUAUAUAAAUAAGCUAUGACAGAGGGAGUUCAUCCACGUUUUAAUGAGACAGCUUAACUCUCCUGCUAAAUUAAUACAUCUACUUUGAGACUUUAAUCUCCAGGAGAAGUGGCAACAGAAAGGGCAGUUGAAGAAACACUCCUUGUACACAUUCACAAUGUUUAUUUUUAUAAAAUCAACACUGUAAUAUAAUUCCACUUUUAUCUAAAACAAAAUGUAUAAAUGCAAUUAACACUAGAAGAAUAUACAAACCAGAAUAUUCAUAAUGACUAAUUUUCUCUUUUAGAUAAUAUUUUAAAUUAUUGGAUUUUACUUUUCCAUGUUUUCUCACUUCUCUGUGUCAAGCCUAUACAACCAGUUUAGAAUGAGAAGUGAAAGUUGCUCAGUUAUGUCUGACUCUGUGACUCCAUGGACUAUAGCCUGCCAGGCUCCUCUGGGAUCUUCCCAACCCACACAUCAAAACCAGGUCUUCCGCAUUGCAGGCAGAUUCUUUACCAGCUGAGCCACAAGGGAAGCCCUUGUUUUGUUUUCUUUGGCUACAGACAUGUGGGAUCUUUGCUCCUCAACCAGGGAUCGGACCCACACCCCUUAUGUUAGGAGGUGAAAUCUUAAUCCCUAGACUGCCAGGAGAAGAAAAUACAAUAAAUGUUUCAGGAUCAAGAGAAAAAAAAUGAAUAUACACCAAUGUUUAAGGG
Bos taurus (domestic cattle) is the source of this 3368-nucleotide long non-coding RNA. The record is from Ensembl. Lineage: Eukaryota; Metazoa; Chordata; Mammalia; Artiodactyla; Bovidae.